Pan troglodytes (chimpanzee) is the source of this 451-nucleotide long non-coding RNA. RefSeq lists it as uncharacterized. The transcript has 2 exons. Lineage: Eukaryota; Metazoa; Chordata; Mammalia; Primates; Hominidae. The record is from RefSeq and is a predicted model, not a curated record.
GAGGAGGGCGUGGCUUCCGGCAUUUGGUGGGGCCUUUGUAUCUCGCUCCCGCCAGAGCUUGGGAUCAGUCUCUGCUGUUUUGAGUCCUCCACCUCGGGAGCCCCCGGUGACUGUCACAGCCUCUUGCCCUGUGAUCUGCAGGUUCUGGGAGACGCACAGCUAAGAUGCCAGGACAUCCUGGAAGCUGGGAAAAGGCUCAAGCGAUUCCCGUGCCUCAGCGCCCCCCUCCGGCCCCCGAGAAGCUGGGAUUACAGACCUGCGCCACUACGCCUGGCAAAUUUUUGUAUUUCUAGUAGAGAAGUGGUUUCACCAUGGUGGAAGCUGGUCUGGAACUCCUGGCCUCAAGCGAUACGCCCGCCACGGCCUCCCAAAGUGCGAAGAUUACAAGCAUGAGCCACCGCGCCCAGCCGCUUCUAUUAAAUAUUAAAGGGAGUCAAUGUUAAAACGUUAA